AGGGUGUAAACGCUGCAGACUUGGUGUUGGGGACCCUACGGGGGUGGUUCAGUGCCGGAGAGAAGUUGUUAAGUCUGCUACUUGGAGAGUACGUCCGCAAGGAUGAAACUUAAAGGAAUUGGCGGGGGAGGCACCGCAACGGGAGGAGCGUGCGGUUUAAUUGGAUUCAACACCGGAAAACUCACCAGCGGCGACUGUUACAUGAAAGUCAGGCCGAUGACCUUACUAGAUUUUCUAGAGAGGAGGUGCAUGGCGUCAGUGACU
This 264-nucleotide ribosomal RNA is filed under the name uncultured archaeon. Its description in RNAcentral is "partial 16S ribosomal RNA". It matches the Rfam family "Archaeal small subunit ribosomal RNA", at positions 748 to 1008 of the family's 1478-position model. The record is from RNAcentral.